Non-coding RNA from Pelobates cultripes (western spadefoot toad), 157 nucleotides. The record is from the annotation of a GenBank genome assembly. NCBI's taxonomy places the organism in Eukaryota, Metazoa, Chordata, Amphibia, Anura, Pelobatidae.
GCAGACACAUUCCAGCCAAUCAGCAGCAGACCCUCCCUCCUAGGCCCUCCCACCUCCUGGACAGCAUCCAUUUUGAAGCUGCAUUCUUAGUGAGCUGUCCAGGAGGUGGGAGGGUCUGGGAGGGAGGGUCUGCUGCUGAUUGGCUGGAAUGUGUCUG